This 253-nucleotide ribosomal RNA is filed under the name uncultured bacterium. RNAcentral's name for it is "partial 16S ribosomal RNA". It matches the Rfam family "Bacterial small subunit ribosomal RNA", at positions 524 to 776 of the family's 1533-position model. The record is from RNAcentral.
UACGUAGGGUGCGAGCGUUAAUUGGAAUUACUGGGCGUAAAGCGUGCGCAGGCGGUUUUGUAAGCCAGAUGUGAAAUCCCCGGGCUCAACCUGGGAAUUGCGAUGGAGACUGCAAGGCUAGAAUCUGGCAGAGGGGGGUAGAAUUCCACGUGUAGCAGUGAAAUGCGUAGAGAUGUGGAGGAACACCGAUGGCGAAGGCAGCCCCCUGGGUCAAGAUUGACGCUCAUGCACGAAAGCGUGGGGAGCAAACAGG